GUGCUUGCUUCAGCAGCAUAUAUACUAAAAUUGGAACAAUACAGAGAAAAUAUUAACAUGGGCCCUGAAGAAGGAUAAUACUCCAAUUUCUGAGGUGUUGCAUAUUUUU
This is a small nuclear RNA of Vulpes vulpes (red fox), 109 nucleotides long. The record is from Ensembl. Lineage: Eukaryota; Metazoa; Chordata; Mammalia; Carnivora; Canidae.